UUUCCGUAGGUGAACCUGCGGAAGGAUCAUUAGAGAUGUGCGCAAGCACUUUUCCCUUCUUACACCUGUGCACCGUUUGGUCUUCGGAGCUAUACAAUACCUGUAGUCACAAACGUACUCUAUUAUAACAUAAUAAAACUUUUAACAACGGAUCUCUUGGCUCUC
Molecule: unclassified non-coding RNA, 165 nt
Filed under: plant metagenome
Description: partial contains small subunit ribosomal RNA, internal transcribed spacer 1, and 5.8S ribosomal RNA
Source: RNAcentral